CUCGCCCCACUGACUUCCGCGUUUGUUUGUUUGUUUUUAGCAUCUUUAUUGGGGUAUAAUUGCUGUACAAGGGUGUGUUAGUUUCUGCUUUAUAACAAAGUGAAUCAGUUACACAUAUACAUAUGUUCCCAUAUCUCUGACUUCCGUGUUUUUAGAGCACAAGUAUUAAAAAAAAAAUCAGACAAAUAAGGAGGCGGUGGGUACACUUUAAUGAUACAACUUAAUCUGCGGGGGAUGUGAUCUGGUGACUCUCCAUGCGAUAAUCCUUUCACAAUUAUAAUUAACUGUGAGAAUAAAAAGCUUGUCUACAUUAUAAUUACUGCUUCAUAAAAUUUAUGUAUACUUGUAACAACUAAAUGGUUCAGUGUCUCGAAAAAUAGAUAUCUUUUUCCAUGUUUUAUUGUAAAUUGCAGCGGUCCCUCAGUAUCCACAGGGAUUGGUUCCAGGACCCCCCCAAGGACACCAAAAUCCACAGGUGCUCAGGUCCUUUAUAGACACUGGCAUAGCAUCUGCGUAUAACUGUGCCCCCCCUUCCAUGCUUUAAAUCAUCUCCAGAUCUCAUAAAACCUAAAAUGAGGUACAAGCCGUGUACACAACUGUAGAUACAUUUUAAAUGCUAUGUAAAUAGCUGCCUUGCAGCAAAUUCAGGUUUUGCCUUUGGGAACUUUCUGGAAUGUUUUCCCCGAUAUUUCGAUCUGAGGUGGGUUGAAUCCAUGGACAGAACUCACAGACAUGGAGGGCCAGCUACAUGUUAAUCCUGUUAUACACAUUUUCCUUAAUAGACAAUAACAGACGAUUUAAGUGACUGACCUUCGCAGUAGAUUUAUCUUCAAAUCUCUUAAAACAGUAGCUGAACCAGGCUGUCUGACGGACGGACGUCUGUGCUCAUUAAAUUACCAGCUCAGCAGCGCGCUGCAGUUCCUGCCCGGGGCGUGAACACAAACACGGGGCAGACGCAGAUGAAGCCCGGCCUCGCCCUCAGAGGAGACACAGAGCAGCACCCUGGGCUCUGGCGUCUCACACCGGGACUCGGGUCCUGCAGCCACCGCAGCCGCACUGUGUCAGCAGCCUUUUCUAACCUCUGAUUUCCAUUUACAAAGGACUAUUAUCUGUAGUUCAUUUUAUACUGUAGAUAUUCGUUGAGUCCCUAUUGUAUGCCGUGUGCUGUGCAUUCCAUGAUGAACCCAAACCAUGAGCUGACAGUCUAGCAGAAAAGAGCAACAGGAAGUGAGUGGCCACAGGAGGCGUGUCAAUGGACUGUGGUUCACUUUAGCAAAGUGGAAACGCUGAGCGAGGUCUGAAGUGAGGGAGCGGAGAUGACUUUGGCCUGUGGACGCUGCACUGCCCACGAGACAUCCAGAUGCGGACAUCAAGGAAACAACUGGACCCAUGAAUCUAGAGCUAAGAGAUCAAGAAGCCUCAUUAACAAUGAGCAGACGCUUCCCCCACAUGCACCAGCAGGUCCUGAGGACUUUCACCAACGCUGCGGUGCUUCUGCCUCUGGACCAUGGGGAACCUGCCAGGACGAGGAAGCACUCUGCCCCAACUCACGCUUUCCCAUGAGAAUGCAUCGUCCUCCAGACACAGGAAGUGUGUCCUCGUGACACUAAGGGCCCCCCUGAAAUCCUGGAGGGCAAAAUCACUGUGAAUCACCGAUGAACCAAGACCUGUCAGACUUGGGCGCACUGCUUGCCGCUGAGUUGGAUGGUCUGAAAUGAGGAGACAUGAAGAAAAGACCCGCCUUUAUCUUCUCUGUCUGAUGAAACUGCAAGUUUGCAUGUCACCCUUGGUGGGAAGACCAGACUCGUGGUAAUUAUCCAAAUGUAACGCGCCAGUGUUGGCUGCCUAGCCCCUGUGUCAAUAUGCUGCUGAGGCUGGUGGGUUGGAGUACGUUUCUGAAGCUGAUGUCUGGAACCUCCUACUUUAAUGAGAGAAAGAGAGAAGAAAUUUUCUGCUGUUAAAAAAGGUCUCUUCUCAGGCUUCCCUGGUGGCGCAGUGGUUGAGAGUCCGCCUGCUAAUGCAGGGGACACGGGUUCGAGCCCCGGUCCGGGAAGAUCCCACAUG
This is a long non-coding RNA of Aethalodelphis obliquidens (Pacific white-sided dolphin), 2064 nucleotides long. RefSeq lists it as uncharacterized. NCBI's taxonomy places the organism in Eukaryota, Metazoa, Chordata, Mammalia, Artiodactyla, Delphinidae. The record is from RefSeq and is a predicted model, not a curated record. The transcript is spliced from 4 exons.